AAAUCAUGUAAUUAAACACAAUUUCAGGUUUUUUACAAAAAUAUUGUAAAAAAAUAAAAAUUUACCAAAAUGUUAUAACUUUUUUUUUAUUUACCAAAAUAUAUAUAAUUUUUUUAUUUACUAAAAUAUAUAAAAAAACAAAAAAAACCUGCAAAAAAAAUCAGAUCGAUGUGACGGGACAUUGGUCACGCCAAUGGUAUUGGCGGCACCAAAGGUGCCAAAACCAUUGGCGGCACCAAUGGUGCCAAUACCAUUGGUGGCACCAGUUAAUAAUAGGGGGGGUCGGUGGUGGGGGGCAGAAGGAGAGGGAAAGAAAGAAAAAGAAGGAAAGAAAAGGAAAGGAGAAGAGAAAAAAAGAAAGAAAGAAGAAGAAGAAAAGGAAAAGAGAAGAAAAAAGAAAGAAAGAAAGAAGGAAAGAAAAGGAAAGGAGAAGAGAAAAAAGAAGAAGAAGAAGAGGGAAGGAAGGAAAAAAAAAGAAAAAAAAGGUAAUUUUAUUUAUAAAUUUAAU
Molecule: long non-coding RNA, 508 nt
Filed under: Gossypium raimondii (Peruvian cotton)
Lineage: Eukaryota; Viridiplantae; Streptophyta; Magnoliopsida; Malvales; Malvaceae
Description: long non-coding RNA (GRAI_LNC003535)
Source: RNAcentral